This 88-nucleotide transfer RNA is filed under the name Mycoplasma ovis str. Michigan. RNAcentral's name for it is "tRNA-Leu (CAA) (tRNA-Leu-CAA-1-1)". The record is from RNAcentral. Lineage: Bacteria; Bacillati; Mycoplasmatota; Mollicutes; Mycoplasmatales; Mycoplasmataceae.
GCUCUUAUGGUGGAAUAGGCAGACACGGUAGCCUCAAGAGCUACUGAUAUUUGAUAUCGUCCCAGUUCGACUCUGGGUAAGAGCACCA